UUUUAAGCAUCUUAGAAUUUUCUAGAGUUUUCUUUUUUUUUUUUUAACGUAUUUGUAUUUCUUUUUUAAUUAUUUUUUUCAACAUUUAUUUAUUUGAGAGAGACAGAGCGUGAGCAGGGGAGGGGCAGAGGAGGGGCAGACACAGAAUCCGAAACAGGCUCCAGGCUCCGAGCUGUCAGCACAGACCGCGACGCGGGGCUCGAACUCACGAACUGUGAGAUCAUGACCUGAGCCGACGUCCGACACUUAACAAACUGAGCCACCCAGGCGCCCCUGUGAUUAAAGUUCUUUAAAGAAAGCCAAGCACGGAGUUGAACUUCGGGGUUGAAGCAGGUUGGAAGCGUGCCGUGCCGCUGGGCCCCACUACAGACGUCGGGAACCUAAACAGGAUGGACCCUGAUUGAUUUGAUUUUUUUGUUGUUGUUUUAAUUUCUUUUUUAAGUUGAUUUAUUUAUUUAUUUUGAGAGACAGCAAGAGCCCGCACGCGGGAAGGAGCAGAGAGAGAGAUUCCCAAGCAGGCCCCAUGCUCCACCACGGGGCUCAAUCUCACGACUGAGAUCAUGACCUGAGCCGGAAUCAAGAGUGGGAUGUUCAACCAACUGAGCCACCCAGAAUGAUUAGAAUUACAGUUCAUCUUGAAGUUGUAGGUCCAUCUGACUGCUGAUGGAAUUUGCCUGGACAGGCUGCCAUACCGUGAGGAAGCCCAAACUGCAGGGAGAGGCCACGCCACAGGGAGAGGACACGUGUCGUGACGCCGGUUGGCAGCCCCAGCAGAGAUUCGAGGCAGAAGCCAGUGCCAGCCACCAGAUGUGAGUGAGGAAGCCUUUCAGGUGAGCCCAGCCCCAGCCAGUUUCUGCAACUGCAUUAGAUACCUUGAACAAGAACCAGCCCCAGAACCGUGAAAGAAUAACGGUUGUUGUUGCCUUUUACCGCUAAGUUUGGAGUUGUUACACAGCACUGUAUAACCAGAACAACUUGCAUUAACUGAUUUAGUUCUUCCGACAACCCUAGGAGAGGGAAUG
Molecule: long non-coding RNA, 1022 nt
Organism: Neofelis nebulosa (Clouded leopard)
Lineage: Eukaryota; Metazoa; Chordata; Mammalia; Carnivora; Felidae
Exons: 3
Source: RefSeq, a predicted model, not a curated record